Molecule: ribosomal RNA, 254 nt
Filed under: uncultured bacterium
Lineage: Bacteria
Description: partial 16S ribosomal RNA
Rfam family: Bacterial small subunit ribosomal RNA
Source: RNAcentral
CGAAGGGUGCAAGCGUUAAUCGGAAUUACUGGGCGUAAAGCGCGCGUAGGUGGUUCGUUAAGUUGGAUGUGAAAGCCCCGGGCUCAACCUGGGAACUGCAUCCAAAACUGGCGAGCUAGAGUACGGUAGAGGGUGGUGGAAUUUCCUGUGUAGCGGUGAAAUGCGUAGAUAUAGGAAGGAACACCAGUGGCGAAGGCGACCACCUGGACUGAUACUGACACUGAGGUGCGAAAGCGUGGGGAGCAAACAGGAUU